Musca vetustissima is the source of this 291-nucleotide long non-coding RNA. RefSeq lists it as uncharacterized. The record is from RefSeq and is a predicted model, not a curated record. The transcript is spliced from 4 exons. NCBI's taxonomy places the organism in Eukaryota, Metazoa, Arthropoda, Insecta, Diptera, Muscidae.
UUUUUAUUUCAUUUUACUUUCAGCGAUGAUGACUUAAAUUUCAUACCACGCGAUAAUUGGACACGCAUGAGUCUGAGACGUACGCCCACCAAAAACCCGGACAGUUUAGCCAACCGUCGCUGGGGAUCAAUGAGACAUUCCGGCCGACGGCAGUUGGGUUCCAAUGCCCUAGCCACUCAACUGUACAGAUCAUCAAGUUUCAACUCAUCGGGACGUAGCUCCAAUUGUGAUACCACAGACGAAAUGUAUGACUGCAGUCUGGACAAUGUACAGGAUAUUAAUUAUAAGGUG